RNAcentral lists this ribosomal RNA (492 nucleotides) under uncultured bacterium. Its description in RNAcentral is "partial 16S ribosomal RNA". It matches the Rfam family "Bacterial small subunit ribosomal RNA", at positions 29 to 507 of the family's 1533-position model. The record is from RNAcentral.
AGUGAACGCUGGCGGUAGGCCUAACACAUGCAAGUCGAACGGCAGCACAGUAAGAGCUUGCUCUUACGGGUGGCGAGUGGCGGACGGGUGAGGAAUACAUCGGAAUCUACUUUUUCGUGGGGGAUAACGUAGGGAAACUUACGCUAAUACCGCAUACGACCUACGGGUGAAAGCAGGGGAUCUUCGGACCUUGCGCGAUUGAAUGAGCCGAUGUCGGAUUAGCUAGUUGGCGGGGUAAAGGCCCACCAAGGCGACGAUCCGUAGCUGGUCUGAGAGGAUGAUCAGCCACACUGGAACUGAGACACGGUCCAGACUCCUACGGGAGGAAGCAGUGGGGAAUAUUGGACAAUGGGCGGAAGCCUGAUCCAGCCAUACCGCGUGGGUGAAGAAGGCCUUCGGGUUGUAAAGCCCUUUUGUUGGGAAAGAAAAGCAGCAGGUUAAUACCCCGCUGUUCUGACGGUACCCAAAGAAUAAGCACCGGCUAACUUCGUG